GAUGAACGCUGGCGGCGUGCCUAAUACAUGCAAGUCGAGCGAACGGACGAGAAGCUUGCUUCUCUGAUGUUAGCGGCGGACGGGUGAGUAACACGUGGAUAACCUACCUAUAAGACUGGGAUAACUUCGGGAAACCGGAGCUAAUACCGGAUAAUAUUUUGAACCGCAUGGUUCAAAAGUGAAAGACGGUCUUGCUGUCACUUAUAGAUGGAUCCGCGCUGCAUUAGCUAGUUGGUAAGGUAACGGCUUACCAAGGCAACGAUGCAUAGCCGACCUGAGAGGGUGAUCGGCCACACUGGAACUGAGACACGGUCCAGACUCCUACGGGAGGCAGCAGUAGGGAAUCUUCCGCAAUGGGCGAAAGCCUGACGGAGCAACGCCGCGUGAGUGAUGAAGGUCUUCGGAUCGUAAAACUCUGUUAUUAGGGAAGAACAUAUGUGUAAGUAACUGUGCACAUCUUGACGGUACCUAAUCAGAAAGCCACGGCUAACUACGUGCCAGCAGCCGCGGUAAUACGUANGUGGCAAGCGUUAUCCGGAAUUAUUGGGCGUAAAGCGCGCGUAGGCGGUUUUUUAAGUCUGAUGCGAAAGCCCACGGCUCAACCGUGGAGGGUCAUUGGAAACUGGAAAACUUGAGUGCAGAAGAGGAAAGUGGAAUUCCAUGUGUAGCGGUGAAAUGCGCAGAGAUAUGGAGGAACACCAGUGGCGAAGGCGACUUUCUGGUCUGUAACUGACGCUGAUGUGCGAAAGCGUGGGGAUCAAACAGGAUUAGAUACCCUGGUAGUCCACGCCGUAAACGAUGAGUGCUAAGUGUUAGGGGGUUUCCGCCCCUUAGUGCUGCAGCUAACGCAUUAAGCACUCCGCCUGGGGAGUACGACCGCAAGGUUGAAACUCAAAGGAAUUGACGGGGACCCGCACAAGCGGUGGAGCAUGUGGUUUAAUUCGAAGCAACGCGAAGAACCUUACCAAAUCUUGACAUCCUUUGACAACUCUAGAGAUAGAGCUUUCCCCUUCGGGGGACAAAGUGACAGGUGGUGCAUGGUUGUCGUCAGCUCGUGUCGUGAGAUGUUGGGUUAAGUCCCGCAACGAGCGCAACCCUUAAGCUUAGUUGCCAUCAUUAAGUUGGGCACUCUAAGUUGACUGCCGGUGACAAACCGGAGGAAGGUGGGGAUGACGUCAAAUCAUCAUGCCCCUUAUGAUUUGGGCUACACACGUGCUACAAUGGACAAUACAAAGGGCAGCGAAACCGUGAGGUCAAGCAAAUCCCAUAAAGUUGUUCUCAGUUCGGAUUGUAGUCUGCAACCCGACUACAUGAAGCUGGAAUCGCUAGUAAUCGUAGAUCAGCAUGCUACGGUGAAUACGUUCCCGGGUCU
Molecule: ribosomal RNA, 1372 nt
Filed under: uncultured bacterium
Lineage: Bacteria
Description: bacterial SSU rRNA
Rfam family: Bacterial small subunit ribosomal RNA
Source: RNAcentral